AUCUUUGGCCAUACCAUCCUGAAGGUGCCUGAUCUUGUCUGAUCUUGGGAAGCUAAGCAGGGUCAGGCCUGGUUAGUACUUGGAUGGGAGACCACCUGGGAAUAUCAGGUGCUGUAGGCU
This 120-nucleotide ribosomal RNA is filed under the name Microtus ochrogaster (prairie vole). The record is from RNAcentral. Lineage: Eukaryota; Metazoa; Chordata; Mammalia; Rodentia; Cricetidae.